Molecule: ribosomal RNA, 786 nt
Filed under: Triticum aestivum (bread wheat)
Lineage: Eukaryota; Viridiplantae; Streptophyta; Magnoliopsida; Poales; Poaceae
Description: partial small subunit ribosomal RNA
Source: RNAcentral
AUGGCUCGCAAGAAGGUGACCCUCCAGUACAUCGCCAACGACUCCACCCGGCGCGGCACCUUCAAGAAGCGCCUCAGGGGCCUGAUGAAGAAGGCGGGCGAGCUGGCCAUCCUCUGCGACGUCAAGACCUGCGUGCUCGUCUACGGCGAGGGCGAGCCGGCGCCGGAGGUCUUCCCCUCCCACGCCAAGGCGGCGGCCAUCCUGACCCGGUUCCGGAGCAUGCCGGAGCUGGGCCAGUGCAAGAACAAGAUGAACCAGGCGGGCUUCCUCACCCAGCGCAUCGACAAGCUCCGCGACCAGGUCGACAAGUCCCGCCGCGAGUGCCGCGACCGCGAGAUCAAGGUCCUCCUGCACAGGGCCAUGCUCGGCGCCCUCCCGGGCCUCGCCGGCCUCACCAUCGAGGAGCUCACCAGCGUCGGAUGGAAGGUGGACGUGCUCCUCAGGAGCAUCGGCGAACGCAUCGACAAAAUCCAUUCCCUUUCCAUGCAGGCGCCGCCGCCAGCCGCAUACCAGCUCACCACCGGCAGCAGCAGCAUGGAGGAUCACAUGGGGUCUCCGCCGUCUCUGUACCAGGUCCAGGCACCACCGCAGCAACAACAGCAGGAGGGCUGGCUUGACAUGGUGCCCCGGCCCGGAGAAGAUCUCGGCACCCAGCUGCUCUACGGUGGCUAUACCACCGGUGGCCACGACGGCGCCAGCUUCUCCUCCUCCAGCGGCGAUAUGAAUAUGAUGAUGAUGCAGCCCUUCGAUCUGGGCUUCGGUUUGAGCCAUUUCCCUCCCAUGUAA